GACGAACGCUGGCGGCGUGCUUAACACAUGCAAGUCGAACGGAAAGGCCCUGCUUUUGUGGGGUGCUCGAGUGGCGAACGGGUGAGUAACACGUGAGUAACCUGCCCUUGACUUUGGGAUAACUUCAGGAAACUGGGGCUAAUACCGGAUAGGAGCUCCUGCUGCAUGGUGGGGGUUGGAAAGUUUCGGCGGUUGGGGAUGGACUCGCGGCUUAUCAGCUUGUUGGUGGGGUAGUGGCUUACCAAGGCUUUGACGGGUAGCCGGCCUGAGAGGGUGACCGGCCACAUUGGGACUGAGAUACGGCCCAGACUCCUACGGGAGGCAGCAGUGGGGAAUAUUGCACAAUGGGCGGAAGCCUGAUGCAGCAACGCCGCGUGCGGGAUGACGGCCUUCGGGUUGUAAACCGCUUUCGCCUGUGACGAAGCGUGAGUGACGUAAUG
This 440-nucleotide ribosomal RNA is filed under the name Cutibacterium acnes. Its description in RNAcentral is "bacterial SSU rRNA". It matches the Rfam family "Bacterial small subunit ribosomal RNA", at positions 28 to 466 of the family's 1533-position model. The record is from RNAcentral. Lineage: Bacteria; Bacillati; Actinomycetota; Actinomycetes; Propionibacteriales; Propionibacteriaceae.